UACGUAGGUGGCAAGCGUUGUCCGGAAUCACUGGGCGUAAAGCGCGCGCAGGCGGCGAUCUACGUCUGGGGUGAAAGCCCGGAGCUCAACUCCGGGACUGCCUUGGAUACGGGAUCGCUUGAGGAUUGGAGAGGCAAGGGGAAUUCCACGUGUAGCGGUGAAAUGCGUAGAUAUGUGGAGGGACACCUGUGGCGAAGGCGCCUUGCUGGCCAAUUUCUGACGCUGAGGCGCGAAAGCGUGGGGAGCAAACAGG
This 253-nucleotide ribosomal RNA is filed under the name uncultured bacterium. Its description in RNAcentral is "partial 16S ribosomal RNA". It matches the Rfam family "Bacterial small subunit ribosomal RNA", at positions 524 to 776 of the family's 1533-position model. The record is from RNAcentral.